CUGCGCGCCUGAUGGGUCGAGGCGGACGCGCGGCUGCGUCAGCUGCGGGAAACCAGCGGGAGCUUCGGCAGGGCCUGCAGAGAGGACAAGCGAAGUUAGAGCCUAGUGUACUUGCCGCUGGGAGCUGGGCUAGGCCCCCAACCUUUGCCCUGAAGAUGCUGGCAGAGCAGGAUGUUGUAACGGGAAAUGCCAGAAAUACUGCAAGCAAAACUGAAAACAACCCAUCCAUGUAGGAAAGAAUAACACGGACUACACGUUAUUCAAGGACACCGAAAAGCCAACACCAUGGUAGCAUUAAUGAAAGUUUACCAAGAGGAAGAUGAAGCCUACCAGGAAUUAGUUACCGUGGCAACCACGUUCUUCCAGUACUUACUGCAGCCAUUUAGGGCUAUGCGAGAAGUUGCAACUUUAUAAGUCCUUGGAUGAGGAUGACCUAGGUCCUAGAAGGGUAGUUGCCCUGGAG
RNAcentral lists this long non-coding RNA (463 nucleotides) under Homo sapiens (human). Its description in RNAcentral is "non-protein coding lnc-NIPA1-1:8". The record is from RNAcentral. Lineage: Eukaryota; Metazoa; Chordata; Mammalia; Primates; Hominidae.